CGCGUGCUAACCGGUCAGUGUGUGUUCGGUGUGUUUCACGAAUAACUGACUGUGUGUCUCAGCGCUGAGCUUCCUACCUGGACCAGGUGUGUUGAUGAUGUCAUCAUCAGACGACCAGCUGUGUCUGAACAUCAGCAGCAGCUUUUCAUCGUCUUCAUCCAGCAGAAAAAAACCUCUGACUACUCAGCAGAGAUGGGCUCAGAAGAAACAGAAAGCAGAGAAAAGGAGGUUCAACUCCUCAGAGGAGCAGAGAAGCUCCUUCAAACAGAGGAGGCUCACUGAGUCUGUGCAGGAG
Long non-coding RNA from Scomber scombrus (Atlantic mackerel), 295 nucleotides. RefSeq lists it as uncharacterized. The transcript has 3 exons. NCBI's taxonomy places the organism in Eukaryota, Metazoa, Chordata, Actinopteri, Scombriformes, Scombridae. The record is from RefSeq and is a predicted model, not a curated record.